Peltaster fructicola is the source of this 83-nucleotide non-coding RNA. The record is from the annotation of a GenBank genome assembly. Lineage: Eukaryota; Fungi; Ascomycota; Dothideomycetes.
GGUCUUAUGGUGUAGUUGGUUAUCACGUCAGUCUAACAUUUGAGUGGCACUGAAGGUCGCCAGAUCGAGCCUGGCUAAGAUCA